GACAGAGGUGCCAAGCGUUAGGCGGAAUUACUGGGCGUAAAGCGUGCGUAGGUGGUUUUUUAAGUCCGUUGUGAAAGCCCUGGGCUCAACCUGGGAAUGGCAGUGGAUACUGGAAAGCUAGAGUGCGGUAGAGGGUAGUGGAAUUCCCGGUGUAGCAGUGAAAUGCGUAGAGAUCGGGAGGAACACCAGAGGCGAAGGCGGCGUCCUGGCUCACAACUGACGCUCAUACACGACAGCAUGGGGAGCGAACGGG
RNAcentral lists this ribosomal RNA (253 nucleotides) under uncultured bacterium. RNAcentral's name for it is "partial 16S ribosomal RNA". It matches the Rfam family "Bacterial small subunit ribosomal RNA", at positions 524 to 776 of the family's 1533-position model. The record is from RNAcentral.